This 219-nucleotide long non-coding RNA is filed under the name Elaeis guineensis (African oil palm). Its description in RNAcentral is "long non-coding RNA (EGUI_LNC062651)". Lineage: Eukaryota; Viridiplantae; Streptophyta; Magnoliopsida; Arecales; Arecaceae. The record is from RNAcentral.
GAGCCAGUCUUUGUAAUUAGUAUCAAUCAACCUAUUUAUAUUGAGGAUUCGAGCUAAAGGGUUUGAACUUGAUAGGGUUAUCUGCAAAGAGAAUAGUUUCUAGUUAGAUUUUGUACUUAUAAAAUUGUUUGUUCUAGAAGCUUUAAAAAUAAAUAAAGAUUCUCACUAUUUUUUCAAAUCUCCCACACUCCUCAGGUGGAGAAAUAAAAAUCUAUACGC